ACUUAUUUUUCUGGUCCUAAGGGUUGCACCCAGGACCUUACAGUAGGCAAGGGCUCUACCUAUGAGCUGCAAGCCCAGCCCAUCAGUCAUUCAUUAUUUAAAGUCUAUUUAUCCUCGUAUUCAAAUCCUUGCGUUGUCACUGCUUUUCCCAGCAUUCCUUGUACUUUUAUUUUUACAAAUAAAGUACUAGGAAAUAGUUUUCUCCCAGCCAAGUGGUGGAAAGUGGCCAAGUCUACACUGGAGCCCAGUUCUUCUAUGUUUCGAGCUUUAGUUUAUCUGCAUUAACUGUCUCCCUUGACGGCCACUAAUCAGUGUGUGAAACUAGAAGAGCUCUUAAAUGUUCUGUGUUUCAGCUCUUCCUUUAAAAAUAGCCGGAUUGCGCACAACUCACAAAUUGGAGAACAGGAUGUUUAUUUAUGUGUGCAUGUAUUUAUGUGUGUGUAUUUGUUUCUUUAAGGAAAAUCCUGGAGCAGAGACAAAUGAGAAUGGCUAGAAGAGCUUUCCUGUGUGUCUCUCUGUCUUCAUCUAUCUCUGCCUCUGCUCCCAUGAUGCUAGGUGUUGGCUUUUCAGUGUCUCAAGAGCACUCUAUUGGUGCUUCUUGGUCAACUUCCUUAGGAAUUCCAUCAUCCCAGCGAUGCCAUCACCAAGAUGUCUUCUGCUGCCACAGCAAAGAAAUCUGCUUAAUUAAGUUCUGUUGUGACUGAAGAGGAUCCCGUCAUCGAUGUGAAUUUUCUAAAAUUUAGCAAGUCUUGUUUUACGGAUCAUGACUACAUUGUACAACAAUGAAUAUUGUUUUAUCUUGCCCUUCCCUCGUGUCUAAAGAUGUUGGAUGCUUACAAUGAUAUUUCUCAGUCAUUUACAUUUCAUUGUUUAGAACUUUUUGCUUCAUUCUGUUCCCUAAUAUUUAAUUGGGUUCUUCUCUCAGUGUUGGAUGUUUAUUGAGUCCUUUGUGUAUUUUAGAUAUUCACCCUCGAUCUGAUAUACAACUGAUAAAGAUUUUUUUUAUUGUGUAGUCUUCGUAUUGGUAGUGUGCUUUGCUGAAUGAAGUAUUUCAGUUUCCAGAUGUUAAUUUUUGUUCUUAAUGACUGUGCUGUUCAGAAAAUCCUUUCUAAAUUAAAGCAUAUUUCCUAGUUUCCUCUCUACCGGGUUAGGCUCUCGGGUUCUACGUUGAGAUCCUUUAUCCAUUUGGAGUUGAAUUUUGUCCAAGGUGACAGAUAAUGAUCAAGUUUCACUCUUCUACAUGGAGCCAUCCAGCUUGGCCUGCGCUAUCUGACGAAAAUGGUGUCUUUUUUCUGAUAUGUAUCUUUGUCCUCUUUGUCAAAAAUCAGGUAGCUAGAGGAGCAUGGGCCAUGUGGGCUCUAAAUUCUGUUGCAUUGAUGAAUGACUCUGUUUGUAUGUUGGCAUCACUGUGUUUUUAUCACUAUACCUCUGAGAGGAUAACU
Long non-coding RNA from Mus musculus (house mouse), 1442 nucleotides. RefSeq annotates it as predicted gene, 39166. The record is from RefSeq and is a predicted model, not a curated record. Lineage: Eukaryota; Metazoa; Chordata; Mammalia; Rodentia; Muridae. The transcript has 3 exons.